CAAAGUGCUCAUAGUGCAGGUAGUUUUUGAAUUGGAUCUACUGUAAUGUGGGCACUUAUAGU
Molecule: microRNA precursor, 62 nt
Filed under: Chrysemys picta bellii (western painted turtle)
Lineage: Eukaryota; Metazoa; Chordata; Testudines; Emydidae
Description: Cpi-Mir-17-P4c_pre stem-loop
Rfam family: mir-17 microRNA precursor family
About the family: This family represents the microRNA (miRNA) precursor mir-17, family, which includes mir-20, mir-91, and mir-103. miRNAs are transcribed as ~70nt precursors (modelled here) and subsequently processed by the Dicer enzyme to give a ~22nt product. In this case the mature sequence comes from the 3' arm of the precursor. The extents of the hairpin precursors are not generally known and are estimated based on hairpin prediction.
Source: RNAcentral